UUUAUUAGCAGGGAAAAAAAGCAGGAAGGUGAGACAAUGGCUCCAUGUAAGACGCCGCCAGGUAAACACUACUGGGGGAUGGGGAGAUUAAGAGACAGUGCCUGAUCUAUUCUAGCCAAGUUACACAGCUUGUUUUUCAGAUGCAGGGGACCAACAGAUGAAAAUGACUAUAAAUAUUUACAGUAUUCAGAGGGGAGGCUGUUGUUUGGGAGCUGGUCGUGGCAAACAGACUGACAGACACAAACACCCAUGUAGGGUCUAAAAGAACUAGGCUUUCCAAGGUUUCCAGGAGGAUGGUAAGCCUCAGGUUACAUUAAGUGAACAUGUUGUGAGAUAAAAAUUGCUUCUCAGAAGGAGGUGUCUGUCUGAACCGCUAUGAAGGGUCUGCUUUUACUUCUUGUCGGAGCUCCUGAAAUCCUGUCUGCAGCCCUGGUUGGGAGUAGGAGCUGGUGAGUUUCUGCCUUGAGACUCCAUGCUGGAAGAAGUUGGUGUGACACCGCCUUGCUGAGCUUGUGUACUGGCAGGAGGAGGAGCCAGAGAGCUGUCACCAUGCUGAACUGGUGUGGGAGGAGCCGCCUGAUGGUUUUCAGAUGAAGUUUUUUUCUCUCUGCUUGGGACUCAGUAGUGAAGUACUUGUAGAUCUGAAUUGUGGCCUGGAUUUUGAUGUUUGUUUGUUUGUUCUUUUUUUAAAUUUGCUCCCUGCAGUGCCAUCAGAAUAAAUUGGUUAUUGGUCUGUG
Long non-coding RNA from Gopherus flavomarginatus (Mexican gopher tortoise), 737 nucleotides. RefSeq lists it as uncharacterized. The record is from RefSeq and is a predicted model, not a curated record. The transcript has 4 exons. NCBI's taxonomy places the organism in Eukaryota, Metazoa, Chordata, Testudines, Testudinidae.